AUGAUCUACGACGUGAACUCCCCCCUGUUCCGCUCCUUCCUCAGCCAGAAGGGCGGCGCGUCCUCCGACAAGAGGAAAAUGGAAGAGCAGAAGCCGAAGGACCAGAGGUUCAAGGCCAACGAGAACAAGCCUGUAAUGAAUGAAUGA
RNAcentral lists this ribosomal RNA (147 nucleotides) under Triticum aestivum (bread wheat). Its description in RNAcentral is "partial small subunit ribosomal RNA". The record is from RNAcentral. Lineage: Eukaryota; Viridiplantae; Streptophyta; Magnoliopsida; Poales; Poaceae.